This 207-nucleotide ribosomal RNA is filed under the name uncultured bacterium. RNAcentral describes it as "partial 16S ribosomal RNA". It matches the Rfam family "Bacterial small subunit ribosomal RNA", at positions 568 to 774 of the family's 1533-position model. The record is from RNAcentral.
CGUGUAGGCGGUCAGGUAAGUGGAAUGUGAAAGCCCUCGGCUCACCCGAGGAUCUGCAUUCCAAACUGCCUGGCUUGAGUAUGGGAGAGGAUGAGGGAAUUCCCAGUGUAGAGGUGAAAUUCGUAGAUAUUGGGAAGAACACCGGUGGCGAAGGCGGCGACCUGGUCCUUGACUGACGCUGAGGCGCGAAAGCGUGGGGAGCAAACA